Molecule: unclassified non-coding RNA, 430 nt
Filed under: soil metagenome
Description: partial contains 5.8S ribosomal RNA, internal transcribed spacer 2, and large subunit ribosomal RNA
Rfam family: 5.8S ribosomal RNA (bases 1-119)
Source: RNAcentral
GAUGAAGAACGUAGCGAAAUGCGAUACGUAGUGUGAAUUGCAGAAUUCCGCGAAUCAUCGAGUUUUUGAACGCAAGUUGCGCCCGAGGCUUGUCCGAGGGCAUUUCCGCUAGAGCGUCACCGCGCCCCCCCACCACACUCCCAAAUGCGGGAGUUUGAGUGGAACUGGCCGUCCCGGCACAUCGGGUCGGCUGAAAUGGAGGGAAUUUGGCCGCCGUGGCAUCACUUGCCCCGCGAUCAGGUGCGAUACUCGGAAGAGUUUCAUUCCAAGUGCGGGGCUCCCAGUGAGCCCGCGUGCGUGCCCCGAGUUCCACAGCAGGCUUACCUUGAGCAGCACCUCGAGUGCUGCGAAAGCGUGAAAGAGGUAACGCAUCAGACCUCUAAUCGGAAAAGACUACCCGCCGAGUUUAAGCAUAUCAAUAAGCGGAGGA